This 69-nucleotide transfer RNA is filed under the name Schistosoma mansoni. Lineage: Eukaryota; Metazoa; Platyhelminthes; Trematoda; Strigeidida; Schistosomatidae. The record is from RNAcentral.
GUAUUGUUUGGGUGGACAACGCGAUGGCGUUUGAAGCGAGAGGUACUGGGUUCGAGUCCCAGAGUGAAC